Long non-coding RNA from Alnus glutinosa, 587 nucleotides. RefSeq lists it as uncharacterized. The record is from RefSeq and is a predicted model, not a curated record. Lineage: Eukaryota; Viridiplantae; Streptophyta; Magnoliopsida; Fagales; Betulaceae. The transcript has 3 exons.
CCCGCACGCCCCUCUUUCUCUCUUCCCUUUUCUUUCUUCUCCAUCUCUCUCAGCUCCAUGCAACCCACACCCUCUCCCUGUUCUGCUCGGCCCGACGCAACCCCCCCCCCCCCCCUCGGUUUCUCCGCUCUCGCUCCCCUCUUCUUCUUCCGCCAGCAGCACCGACGCCCUCCUCUUCCCUUCUCUCUUCUUCUCUUCAGUUUCCACCACUGACCCGAGAGUUUGGGCUGCCGAGAGUGAGUGAUUUUUCUGCACAAUCUGAGACCAAAAGAUGCGGGAGUUCAAGGGUUGUGUCAUAAUGAAGACUUCAAUGGGUUCUUCAAUGCAGAGUUGGAGUCGUGAGUCCAAUGCAGCCAGAUGAUGUCCUUUCGGCUGCAGGUACUCGGGUCGUAGUUGAUGGGGGUCGUAGACGUGCAUUUGGGAUAUUAUGAUCGAAACUUGCCGCGAUGGUCGUAAUUGUGGGACCAUGGGCGUCCUCAGUUUUAUAGGUUUUGUUGUGGCUUGUGACGUAUGUGUCACUCGUUAUUGUAUAAAGCCAUUUUGUUAUGUAUUUAUAUUGUGGAAAGACUUAAACACAUAGAUAUUAA